Molecule: ribosomal RNA, 429 nt
Filed under: Actinomycetes bacterium
Lineage: Bacteria; Bacillati; Actinomycetota; Actinomycetes
Description: Actinobacteria bacterium partial 16S ribosomal RNA
Rfam family: Bacterial small subunit ribosomal RNA
Source: RNAcentral
UAGGGAAUCUUCCGCAAUGGGCGAAAGCUUGACGGAGCAACGCCGCGUGAGUGAUGAAGGUCAUCGGAUCGUAAAACUCUGUUAUUAGGGAAGAACAAAUGUGUAAGUAACUAUGCACGUCUUGACGGUACCUAAUCAGAAAGCCACGGCUAACUACGUGCCAGCAGCCGCGGUAAUACGUAGGUGGCAAGCGUUAUCCGGAAUUAUUGGGCGUAAAGCGCGCGUAGGCGGUUUUUUAAGUCUGAUGUGAAAGCCCACGGCUCAACCGUGGAGGGUCAUUGGAAACUGGAAAACUUGAGUGCAGAAGAGGAAAGUGGAAUUCCAUGUGAAGCGGUGAAAUGCGCAGAGAUAUGGAGGAACACCAGUGGCGAAGGCGACUUUCUGGUCUGUAACUGACGCUGAUGUGCGAAAGCGUGGGGAUCAAACAGG